This is a long non-coding RNA of Zingiber officinale, 271 nucleotides long. RefSeq lists it as uncharacterized. The record is from RefSeq and is a predicted model, not a curated record. The transcript has 3 exons. NCBI's taxonomy places the organism in Eukaryota, Viridiplantae, Streptophyta, Magnoliopsida, Zingiberales, Zingiberaceae.
GAUUGUACAGGGUGCAAGAGAAACGCUUUGUUGCUUGAAGCCAGAACAUUUGUCGCUGAUGCGUUGGGCUUUCACCUUCUCAAAGACCUUGUGUGUGUUUGCAUUACUUGGUUAUAUCGACGCCAUUGUGCUUGCUAUGAUUGCUGAGAAUUAAUAGCGGUGGGAGGUGCAACACAUGUCGAUAUAGCUUGUGACCGAGAAUUGGUAAAGCUUGCUCUGGAUUUGAUGUCUCUACCAGUAAUUCUUGCGCAUUUGUGUUUCCUCUGUGGAC